GGAACCGUGGUGUAGGGGUAAGCGUGAUUGCCUCUCACCCAGUUUGCUUGGGUUCGAUCCCUGAUGGUCCCG
This 72-nucleotide transfer RNA is filed under the name Culex quinquefasciatus (southern house mosquito). It matches the Rfam family "tRNA". From Rfam's summary of the family: Transfer RNA (tRNA) molecules are approximately 80 nucleotides in length. Their secondary structure includes four short double-helical elements and three loops (D, anti-codon, and T loops). Further hydrogen bonds mediate the characteristic L-shaped molecular structure. tRNAs have two regions of fundamental functional importance: the anti-codon, which is responsible for specific mRNA codon recognition, and the 3' end, to which the tRNAs corresponding amino acid is attached (by aminoacyl-tRNA synthetases). tRNAs cope with the degeneracy of the genetic code in two manners: having more than one tRNA (with a specific anti-codon) for a particular amino acid; and 'wobble' base-pairing, i.e. permitting non-standard base-pairing at the 3rd anti-codon position. The record is from Rfam by way of RNAcentral. Lineage: Eukaryota; Metazoa; Arthropoda; Insecta; Diptera; Culicidae.